AAUUGACUGGUGGGAUGACGUCAAGUCCUCAAAGUCGCCCUUACGGGCUGGGCUACACACGUGCUACAAUGGCGGUGACAAUGGGAAGCUAAGGGGUGACCCUUCGCAAAUCUCAAAAAGCCGUAAUGCCGUAGUUCGGAUUGGGCUCUGCAACUCGAGCCCAUGAAGUUGGAAUCAUGCUAGUAAUCGUGGAUCAGCAAGUCAGGCGUCAAAUCCCGGUGCUUUCGACACACCGCCG
This 238-nucleotide ribosomal RNA is filed under the name uncultured bacterium. RNAcentral describes it as "partial 16S ribosomal RNA". It matches the Rfam family "Bacterial small subunit ribosomal RNA", at positions 1165 to 1395 of the family's 1533-position model. The record is from RNAcentral.